GAUGAACGCUGGCGGCGUGCCUAAUACAUGCAAGUCGAGCGAACAGACGAGGAGCUUGCUCCUCUGACGUUAGCGGCGGACGGGUGAGUAACACGUGGAUAACCUACCUAUAAGACUGGGAUAACUUCGGGAAACCGGAGCUAAUACCGGAUAAUAUAUUGAACCGCAUGGUUCAAUAGUGAAGGACGGUUUUGCUGUCACUUAUAGAUGGAUCCGCGCCGCAUUAGCUAGUUGGUAAGGUAACGGCUUACCAAGGCGACGAUGCGUAGCCGACCUGAGAGGGUGAUCGGCUACACUGGAACUGAGACACGGUCCAGACUCCUACGGGAGGCAGCAGUAGGGAAUCUUCCGCAAUGGGCGAAAGCCUGACGGAGCAACGCCGCGUGAGUGAUGAAGGUCUUCGGAUCGUAAAACUCUGUUAUUAGGGAAGAACAAAUGUGUAAGUAACUAUGCACGUCUUGACGGUACCUAAUCAGAAAGCCACGGCUAACUACGUG
This 497-nucleotide ribosomal RNA is filed under the name uncultured bacterium. Its description in RNAcentral is "partial 16S ribosomal RNA". It matches the Rfam family "Bacterial small subunit ribosomal RNA", at positions 28 to 507 of the family's 1533-position model. The record is from RNAcentral.